This 1821-nucleotide long non-coding RNA is filed under the name Ananas comosus (pineapple). RNAcentral describes it as "long non-coding RNA (ACOM_LNC040360)". Lineage: Eukaryota; Viridiplantae; Streptophyta; Magnoliopsida; Poales; Bromeliaceae. The record is from RNAcentral.
GAAUAUGAUUUGAUUAUCUUGAAUCUAGAGAUGCAAACGGAUCCGAGUUGGUAGAGCUCCCAUUCCGAUCCGUCCCGAAUGAGAUAGUAAACGAGAGGAAAUAAACGAAUUUGGAGCAGAAAACGUGAUAAAUUUUAUAAUCCGAGACGGAUUCAGGACAGAAAACGGAAGAAAUUUUGACCCGUCUCGAAUCUGGCCCACCAUGAUCCACUCCGAAUUCGCCCCGAAAACUAUUUAUAUUUUAAAAAAUAUACCUAAAAAAUAAUAUAUUUAUAAAAAAAUGUUCAAAAUAUAAAUAAAUUAGUGCUUUCAUUUCUCAUGUAUUUGAAACUUCUAAAUUUUGUUUCGAAUUGUGAUUGAUACUUUUAAUUUUUAUAAUUGAUGUUGUUAAUUAUAUAUAUAAUAUUAUUAAAAAAAUUUAAUUUAUAUUUUAAAAAAUAUUAAUAAUAUUAUAAUUUUAUAAAAAAUAUUAGUUGGUGGGACGAAUUCGGGGCGCCGGCGGAAUGCGGGUUACGAGACAGGGCGGAUUAUGGGAUAUAUUUUUUAACCUAUCACGAAUUCGGGGCGGAAGGCGAGGCGGAAUUUUGCUAGUCGGGGCGGCACGCGGGGCGUGGCUCCCGCCCCUAGAUCCCUACUUAAAUCUGAUACUAAUCAUUUUAUACCUAUUAAUAAGUGGUGUACCGGAGGUGCAUUUUUCUUAAAUUCUUAGCUAGCUUUUUUUAUUUGUUUUGACAUAUGAUAGAGAGAGCGGAUCACUCGAACUCUCUUUCGAUCUCUCGAUCAUAAUUUGUACUGCAAUCGGUGUUUUGACUUUGGUGGUAUGAAAGGUAAAGUCGAGUUUAUUGGCAUAAAGAGAUCUGGCGGGAGGUUAGGUUGAAUGGAGUCACGUUUGCAAUGACCAAAGGUUGAGUUGGGUUGAGUCAUGUUCGAAAUAACGGAAUGCUGGAUGGAACGAGUCACAAUCGAGAUCCCGGGCGCUAUAUUUAGAUGUUUUAAAAUUUUAGAUGUAAAUAAAAAAUAAUAAUUAACAUGAAUUUUAAUAUAAAAUAAUAGUAAUUGAAAUGGGGUUAAAAAUAAGAAUUUUUUUUGUAAAUUUAUAAGAAGAAUAUUAAAUACGAAUGAAGGGGAAGGGUGAUGGAGAAAACGACAUUGGAGAUGCCGUAUAGAAACAUUAACUGCUUAAAAGAUUACAAAAAGAAGAAGAAGAAGAAGAUAGAUAGAUUUCUUCUUUAACUGCUUAAAAUAUAUGGAACUAAAUUUCUUCUUUUUAUAUUUACAAAUUUAUCUAUUUUUGGAAGCAAUGUCAAUGUACCCUCUCAACAUCCUAAAUUUCAUAUAUAAUAUAAAAAAAUUUCAAAAACCCCUUGUGGUUUCACCCUUUCUCACCUUAGUAUCCUGUGGUUUAAAGUAUAUCAAAUUAGUACCUUAUGGUUUUGCAUUUUUUAUUUUAAUAUCCUGUGGUUUAAAAUGUAUCAAGUUAGUACCAUGUGUUUUCACACUUUUUCACUUUAGUACCAUGUGGUUUAAUAUUUUAUUAAGAAAAAAAUAAAACCACAGGGUACUAAUUUGAUACAAAAAUAAAAUCACAGAAUAUUAACUUGAUACAAAAAUAAAACCACGAGUACUAACUUGAUACACUUUAAACCACGGUACUAAUGUAAGAAAAUGCGAAACCACAAGAUAUUAACUUGAUACACUUUAAACGAAAAGGUAUUAAAAUGAAAAAGUGCGAAACCUCAUGAAGGUUUUUGAAGUUUUCCCCAUAAUAUAGCCCAUCAAAAAUUUCAAUUUAUAAAUAUAUGUUGUUUUACAAAACUAUAU